Potamilus streckersoni is the source of this 76-nucleotide non-coding RNA. NCBI's taxonomy places the organism in Eukaryota, Metazoa, Mollusca, Bivalvia, Unionida, Unionidae. The record is from the annotation of a GenBank genome assembly.
GCUCCGGUGGCUUAGUGGUUAGAAGAGCGUCUGCCCUGCGUACAGGAAGUCGCGGGUUCAUUCCCCGGCCGAGUCA